GAUGAACGCUGGCGGCGUGCCUAAUACAUGCAAGUCGAGCGAACAGAUGAGGAGCUUGCUCCUCUGACGUUAGCGGAGGACGGGUGAGUAACACGUGGAUCACCUACCUAUAAGACUGGGAUCACUUCGGGAAACCGGAGCUAAUACCGGAUAAUCUAUUGAACCGCAUGGUUCAAUAGUGAAAGACGGUUUUGCUGUCACUUAUAGCUGGAUCUGGGCCGCAUUAGCUAGUUGGUAAGGUAACGGCUUUCCAAGGCAACGAUGCGUAGCCGACCUGCGAGAGGGGUCGGCCACACUGGAGCGGAGACAGGGUCAAGACUCCUACGAGAGGGAGCAGACGGGAACCUUCCGCAAUGGGGGAAAGCCUGACAGAGCGGCGCCGCGUGAGAUAUGACAGUCUCCGGAGCGUAAAACUCUGUUAUUAGGGAAGAACAAAUUUGUAAGGAACUAUGCACGUCUUGACGGUACCGAAUCAGAAAGCCACGGCUAACUACGUG
This 497-nucleotide ribosomal RNA is filed under the name uncultured bacterium. Its description in RNAcentral is "partial 16S ribosomal RNA". It matches the Rfam family "Bacterial small subunit ribosomal RNA", at positions 28 to 507 of the family's 1533-position model. The record is from RNAcentral.